AUGCCAUGCACCCAGGGACACCUCCGCACCCAGCACCAGGGACAGAGCAGCACACGGUGGGUGACUGGAGCCAGCACGUGUUUUCUGGAGAGCCACAGCUGUGUGAAUCAGUUCAUCACUAACAAGGGCUGGGAGGGGGGGACAGGGCAGGACCUUAAGACCCUUCUUGUAAGCGCUGGCCUACUGCCUGGGGGAAUAAAUGAUGCUCCCGGAGUCCCACAGCCUGUGCUGUGGGGCACUCGUGUUCCCCGUAACGGGUGCAGGCUGCGUCCACUGAUCAGAUUCACCCCUGGUUUGGCAGCCCGGCAUAGCAGCCGAGGCUGCACGCGCGUCCUCCGGGUGACGUCUGGCUGCGUUUCUCUCCACAGCAGAGCGCAGCUCGGACAGCACGUCACCUCCAGGCUCCCGUGGUGGUCCCCGCGCCGAGAAGCUGGCGCGGCGUGGCUUUUGUUACGGGCCACCCAGCCCUGCGGCAGCCGCUGUCGGCUACCUUGCGCCAGUCCCCCUCGUGCCUUACGCGCCCUCCGUGCUCUACUGCUCCCCGGUGGUAUCUACCUCAGCACCAGGCCUGGCCGGCCUCCCCCUCCAUCACGCCGCUGGGUACCAGCUGGCAGAGAGGACGCCACAGGUCACCCGCCAGCAAGCUCCCGGCCACCGCCACCCCCUCGCCCUGGACCUCGAUGACUUGGAUGACCUCAACUGGUCCCUGAGCCGCGCUGUGAAGGCUGCCAACAGCAUGAAGUUCACCACAAAGCAGAUGAGCCGGUCACUGACCUCCGAACUGAGCAAAGCCCGGGAGCUCCGGGGAUCUUGCCUCUUCUGAUGGGAGCUGGGGCCCCGCUGUAACGUAGCUGGGUGAAGCUGGGAAGCUGGUGGGAGGCCAGGAGAAGGCCUCAGGAGUGAUGUGCCAAAGCGACUCAUCUGUCCCUGCCUUCUCAGGAGGCAACAGGGAGAUCCUGCCUGUUUGCGCCAGAUGCUCCCUACCAGGUCUGGAGGUGCCUCUGUCCGAGCCGAGGCUGGAAGCAUCUCCGCCAGGUCCUAAACCUGCUCCUAACCCGCAUCACAGUUGCCUUAACCCUCCCCUCCCGCGUCACUAGUCUGCAAGGAGGGUGCUGCGUCCCGCCCCGAGAGGGUGCUCCACCCUCGGGGUACCUGGAGAUCCUCAGCACUGAGCCAGGAGCUUUUGGUGGUUUGUGUCCAUCCAGCUGUCUAUUUUAAGGACCAUUGAAGCUGAAGGAAGAGGUGAGAUGGCAGGAUGGCUGCUGGAGCAGAGGUCUCCUCACAGCCUCCAGCGAGCACGUUGACGUCCUCCCGUCCCCACCAUGGCACGGCUGGGUGCUGCGGCGUUUGAACACAGCCCCCGUUCGGAGGGAGACGUUUCCCUUGGGCUUAGUUUACAUUUUUUCUGGGAGCGGUCCCUCUUCCUGGUGCCCUGGACCCCGUGACGGUUCCCUCCGACUCCAUCACCUGUGCGCCCCUCUCCGUCCGGCCGCUCGCAGCCAAGUUCCCCUCCACGUCCGCCUGCAGGAGACGUGUGUACAGAAGUACCCGGCUUCCUGUUUUAUUCCCAAAGGCAAACGGAGAAGGUACUGCACUAGAAAUCUCCGGAUAGUUUAAUUUAUGUCGCUGGCUUUCCAGCCUAGCACUUAAGCAAAGCACCGGCAGGAGGUUCCCCUCCCCGCUC
Molecule: long non-coding RNA, 1684 nt
Organism: Struthio camelus australis
Lineage: Eukaryota; Metazoa; Chordata; Aves; Struthioniformes; Struthionidae
Source: Ensembl